Long non-coding RNA from Hevea brasiliensis (rubber tree), 2709 nucleotides. RefSeq lists it as uncharacterized. NCBI's taxonomy places the organism in Eukaryota, Viridiplantae, Streptophyta, Magnoliopsida, Malpighiales, Euphorbiaceae. The transcript has 2 exons. The record is from RefSeq and is a predicted model, not a curated record.
UCUGGUUUAUUUUUCUUUUUGUCAAGGUUAGGGUGGCAAGUCUACACAUGUCCAUUCAUGGUAAAUAAAUAAAUAAAUAAAUAAAUCUUUCAAAAUAUACUUCUUAAUUAUUUUUACCAUGUGCCCAACCCCACCCUAUAUUUACCUUCCAAAUAAAAGUCAAAAAGUAGAAUUACUUUAUACCUUUUACUAUCCCUCCAUCUUCCCCCAUUCUCCAUCACCGUCACCAUAUCUCCACUGCCAACCUCACCACCAUGCCCCUCAAAUGCGUCCCCCGCCGUUACCCAUAUCUCCAUCGCCAUCGCAACCUAGCACCAUCUGACUCUAACGAAGCUCCAACACAAGACAAGUCAGUAGUGUCAGCCUCCUUUCCUCCCGGAGCUGCUCAACCACCUCAAACACACCACCAAUUCGACAGAUCCAGAGAUCACAUUACCAACUCUAGAUGAUGGACCCUCAAAUCUGAUGUUAUCGUAAACCACCGAGAAAUGAUCUACCCUGUUUCCAUCAUAUUUGAUGCCAGCUAUGCUGCAUUGCACUUCACCUCUAUGCACCAGAUCUCGUGAACCAGCAAGUCAAUCAGCAUCGGUGGGUUUCACACCAAGGUCCAAAUCCACCACCAUAAGCAAAAAAAAGGCAGCUUCUUCACCUCCACCAUCCCAAACAAAGCACCAACCUUCCUCACCUCCAGAAAAUGACACGGAGCAGCCUUCUGAUGCCUCUGACAAAGAUGAGGCAGCCCCAAGGUGAAAGAAUCAAUCUCAGCUCAAUAAAAAGAGGCACUCAAUUCCACCAACAGGAAUUCAAGGUACCCUGCAAUUCGAAGACGAAGCCCAUCAGACAAGAGGCUUAUAGAGAGCUGAUUGGGAAUCCCACUGCCACUUUUGACCCCAGCCGAGCUAAAGCUAAUUCAGGGAAGUUGCAGUCCUCUUUUCUUUCCUUUUUGUGCUUUAAUUCUUUUUCACAUUGGGGACAAUGCGGGAAUUAGGUGUGGGGGAGGUUUGGAUAUACAUAUACAUAUAUAUAUAUAUAUAUAUAUAUAUAUAUAUAUAUAUAUAUAUAUAAGAGAAAGAAUUAUUUUUCAUGGGAUUUGUUUAAAUAUUUAGACUCUAAUGUUGGAUUCUGAUAAGGGUUUUGGGAUUUUAUUUUUUUCCUACUCUUUUGGUACUACCUUUUUGAUGACUUUUAGUUCUUUUUGGAAGAGUUUAUCAUGAAUGCUUGUUUUUUUGCUUGUCUUUGACCAUAACUUUUGUCUAAUUAAAUCAUUAACUUCUAACUUGAAGUUACCCAAUUUUUCUUGUCUUGAAUUGAUGAGAUAUGCUAGAUCAUGCAAUAAAUUUGAUGUGAUCGGAUUUAUUCUCCAUUUUUCAUGGAAUGGAUGGUUGAUUUUGAUUGUACUUUUCAUCAUAAAGUAUGAGGCUUGAAUUAAUAAGUGAAAUGUGUUAAAUUUGCUUGAUUUAAAUUGAUGUCAUAUGCAUAAGGAAUAUUUGUUUAAACUCAUUUAGUCACUAAAUUGUUCAAUGUGUGAAUAUAUAUAAUGAGAAUUGAGGUUGCUACAUUAAAAAAAAAAAAAAAAAAGAGUUUUGUUUCGCUAUUUUGACUUAGUUGAGUAACCAGGGGUCUUCAUGCACCCCAUGUUAACACUCAGGCCAAAAAUUAAGUAGAAUAUGAGCAGUGCUAGUAGCCACCUAGGGUUGUGUUGAACUGGGUAACCGGGGGUAGCCACCAUAAACUGGUCUAUCUUUGUGUCAAAAGGUCUAUGACACUCUGAGCAAGUCUAAAAGUUUUGAAUAACUUAAAAGCACUUCAAUUUCGUAUCGCUGGGUAAAAUUGUGCGAAAUUUGUGACUUGACAGGUUAGCGGAUGAUUCUUUAUGCAUUGACUUAAGCUAUUUUGGAACUAAAUUGUGUGGAUAUUUUGAAAAUGCUUAAGCCUUGUGUUUUAUACUGAUAAGAACUCUUAAAAUCGAUUAUUUAUUAUAUAAGAAUUGAGAAUUACUAAUUAUGUUAUGUUUAUUGUGUCUUUUAGUGUUUUGCAUCAAGAAUGGAUGAGGAGACCUAAGUGACUGGAUGUUAGUUGUUAUUGAUUGAUAGAUUUGGGUUAUGCUUGAGGACAAGCAUUCGAUUAGUGUAGAGGAAUUUGAUAAUGUGCAUAAUUGGUAUAUAUUUUAUUGGGUUUGCUUGAUUUUUUGGGAAAAUAUUGAAAUUAAUAUGUUGAAAUUUAUUUGAUUUCGUGUUUCUUUGGCUAGGUGAUGAUGAAUGAUUGCAAAAGUGAGAUUUUGGAUGCUUUUCGUGAAUAUUUGAACUGUUGGCUAGAAUUUCGGAUGUUAAGGGCUAAUUUCCAGAAUUUGUCCAUUGAGCCAUGCCCACGGCUUAGGUUGUGCAGAUACAAAGCAGAGGCAGAGUCAAUUGCAUGACUGAAGAUUUUAUUUUAAUUGAGUUCAAGCCUAAUUUUGGGAGGAUUGUAUUUUAAAUAGGACUUUUGAUUGGGGAAAUUAGGAAGAAUAAGUUUUAUGCUUACUUUUUCUCUCUUUUCCAAAGUUAGUUAGAAUUCUCCCUUUAUUAGGACUUCUUAUAUUUUAUAUAAGGAAAAAAAUGCAGGUUUUAGGAGAGCGAAAAAUUACAGAAUUCCUUUUAUUUCUCUUUUGCUCAUUUUUAAACCAUGUGUGGCUAAUUCUUCUUUGAUCUAAUAAAGGUUAAUUAAAGUCAA